CCUACGGGUGGCAGCAGUGGGGGAUAUUGCACAAUGGGGGAAACCCUGAUGCAGCGACGCCGCGUGAGUGAAGAAGUAUUUCGGUAUGUAAAACUCUAUCAGCAGGGAAGAAAAUGACAGUACCUGACCAAGAAGCACCGGCUAACUCCGUGCCAGCAGCCGCGGUAAUACGGAGGGGGCAAGCGUUAUCCGGAUUGACUGGGCGUAAAGGGAGCGUAGACGGUUAUGUAAGUCUGGAGUGAAAGGCCGGGGCUCAACUCCGGGACUGCAUUGGAUACUGUGGAACUGGAGUGCAGGAGGGGCAGGCGGAAUGCAUGGUGUAGCGGUGAAAUGCGUAGAUAUCAGGAGGAACACCGGCGGCGAAGGCGGCCUACUGGACUGUAACUGACGUUGAGGCACGAAAGCGUGGGGAGCAAACAGGAUUAGAUACCCGGGUAGUC
This 440-nucleotide ribosomal RNA is filed under the name uncultured bacterium. RNAcentral describes it as "partial 16S ribosomal RNA". It matches the Rfam family "Bacterial small subunit ribosomal RNA", at positions 338 to 795 of the family's 1533-position model. The record is from RNAcentral.